CUUAUUAAGUUCUCUCUCCUUCUCCUCCUCCACCAUCCACCUCUCCAAUGGCUUCCAUCUCCAGCUCUGUUUCUUCUCUUUGAGAACAAAAAGAGUGAAUCUUUGCGAGUUUUAGUGGGUGGUUUGGUGUCUGUGCUAAAGACUACUGAGAAUGAUGGAGGUAGAGAUUUUCAUGGUUCAUGGAGGAAUGAGGGGUUUCUCCAACGGAGAUGAACAUGAGCAUAAGUAAGGGCAUGAGAGGCUGCGAAGGAGGAUAAAAAGAAAAAGAGUGAAAAAAACCCAUUUUGAUUCUAUUUUCCCCUAAAUUUUAUCCAAUUUCUUCAUUUCUUUGCUUAAAAUCCUGGAUUUUUUUAUCCAUCUGUUCAUCUACUUCAUUUGAAAGAAAGAUUUGAGGGUUUGGAGAUAGAGAAGGAGAUGAAGAGUGCCAAAGACCGCCUUGAAUGGAGCCAGAGCCGGAGUUGCCCUUGCAAUGAGGAAGUCGAAAGCAGCUCCGAUGUGUGAGAGUGCAAGAUGAGACCAUUCUGGAUAGAUUCGUUGAUCGCAUCCUUGAAAAGGAUCUCCCAUCGUUCAUAUAAGGCCAAGCA
Molecule: long non-coding RNA, 584 nt
Organism: Dioscorea cayenensis subsp. rotundata (Guinea yam)
Lineage: Eukaryota; Viridiplantae; Streptophyta; Magnoliopsida; Dioscoreales; Dioscoreaceae
Exons: 3
Source: RefSeq, a predicted model, not a curated record